This 358-nucleotide unclassified non-coding RNA is filed under the name soil metagenome. Its description in RNAcentral is "partial contains 5.8S ribosomal RNA, internal transcribed spacer 2, and large subunit ribosomal RNA". The stretch from base 1 to 120 matches the Rfam family "5.8S ribosomal RNA", at positions 35 to 154 of the family's 154-position model. The record is from RNAcentral.
GAUGAAGAACGCAGUGAAAUGCGAUAAGUAAUGUGAAUUGCAGAAUUCAGUGAAUCAUCGAAUCUUUGAACGCACAUUGCGCCCGUCAGUAUUCUGGCGGGCAUGCCUGUUCGAGCGUCAUUACGCCCCUCAAGUCCCCUGUGGACUUGGUGUUGGGGAUCGGCGAGGCUGGUUUUCCAGCACAGCCGUCCCUCAAAUUAAUUGGCGGUCUCGCCGUGGCCCUCCUCUGCGCAGUAGUAAAACACUCGCAACAGGAGCCCGGCGCGGUCCACUGCCGUAAAACCCCCCAACUUUUUAUAGUUGACCUCGAAUCAGGUAGGACUACCCGCUGAACUUAAGCAUAUCAAUAAGCGGAGGA